Molecule: ribosomal RNA, 253 nt
Filed under: uncultured bacterium
Lineage: Bacteria
Description: partial 16S ribosomal RNA
Rfam family: Bacterial small subunit ribosomal RNA
Source: RNAcentral
GACGGAGGGUGCAAGCGUUGUUCGGAUUGACUGGGCGUAAAGGGCGUGUAGGCGGUUGGUCAAGUCGGGUGUGAAAGCCUGAGGCUCAGCCUCAGAAGUGCAUCCGAAACUAGCCAGCUAGAGCGCGAUAGAGGAGGGUGGAAUUCCUGGUGUAGCGGUGAAACGCGUAGAGAUCAGGAGGAACACCGGCGGCGAAGGCGGCCAUCUGGCUCGUUGCUGACGCUGAGACGCGUAAGCGUGGGGAGCACACAGG